UCCGAGAUCGUCUAAUGGCAGGACAGCGGUUUCUGGCACCGCCAAUCUAGGUUCGACUCCUAGUCUCGGAACCA
This 74-nucleotide transfer RNA is filed under the name bacterium ADurb.Bin212. RNAcentral describes it as "tRNA-Gln". It matches the Rfam family "tRNA". Rfam says of the family: Transfer RNA (tRNA) molecules are approximately 80 nucleotides in length. Their secondary structure includes four short double-helical elements and three loops (D, anti-codon, and T loops). The record is from RNAcentral.